Molecule: long non-coding RNA, 5385 nt
Filed under: Mytilus galloprovincialis (Mediterranean mussel)
Lineage: Eukaryota; Metazoa; Mollusca; Bivalvia; Mytilida; Mytilidae
Source: RNAcentral
AGGAUGGAUGUUAGAAAAAAAGUAAGAGAAAUAUUUUAUCGGAGUCAAAGGUGAGUAUUCGGGUGUAUGAAUUGUACUUCUUCAUAAGGAUUAUAGCGUACUUACUCAUUGAUGCAAGCAUAUUAUUUCUUUAUUUACAAUUGAUUAUGAAACCUGCGGAAGUCGGAUUCUGAUUUAAAAUUACGAAUUAUAUCCCUUGUUGAGAAGUAUGCUGGUAAAAGUAUUGGUUCUUUGCUAUCCGGAAAAACUAUGAGAGGUUAAAAAGAAAACAAUACAUUAACAGGUUUAUUAUCUUGAGACUUUGAAUUACAGCAUGAUAAAUAAUUAAUUUUCUACUAUAUAUUGUUCUGUUGUUUUUCUGUUAUAGGUGACGUGUUUCUCUCAGUUUAAGUUUGUAAACUGAAAUUGUUUUUCUUGAAUCGUAUUAUGACUAUUGAACGGCGGUAUAUUACUGAUGCAUUUCAUGAAAGAACAAUGUAUAAUGGUUUUAAUCUGAAAUUAUUCAUUUAAUGAUUUAAAAGAAAUGUCGUUAACUGUCCAGCAACUGCUAUAAAAUUCAAUACAAUACAUCAUGCUCUUAUGAUACUGUAAUAACAUUGCGAUAACUGUUUAAUCAUAACUUGAACAAAUAACAUACCUUGAACUAUUUAUACUAUCAAUGGGAAUUUUCAGUAAUAAUAUUAAACCAUAAAUUCCAUAACCUAUUUUUAAAUCUUUUCAAAAGUUAUUUAUAAACGUAAAUUCCUGAUAACUCACGUGACAGUGAUACGUGAUAUUCCCUUGACAUACAUUUAUAAAUGGUAUUUUUCAGUGUAAAAUGAUACAAUUAUAUAGUUGUUUUAUAAAUUUAAUAGAAAAGCACGAGCUUAACAUUUACGAGAAUGGUGCGAGGAUAUCUGCCAAUACAUAAAACCUUUUUUCCAUCUAAAAACCAAAUCACAACUUUUGUUUGAAUGACAGUUUCUGGUUUGAUAAGAUUUUUUUUACAAUUGACAAAGAGGCAUAUCAUCAUACAUUUGUCAUACCCAGACAAUUUACUCCGAAUCCGAACAAACCAGUCUUAACUGUACAUAUGUAACUAGUACUCAUUAAUUCCGCUGAGAAGCAACAGCUAUCAAUUUCAAAGCAUUUGGUUGAACCGGCCGGAGUUUCAUCCCACGGUCAUUUGCUCUCGGGGCGAACACGCUAGGCAAAUCACUUACCAACGAUAAUUGGGGAAAAAAAAACUAGAUUUGGGACUGUUCAUUUGCAUUUAAAAAAAUAAAACUAUGUAAACGAUGUUUGUUGUGAUAGCUGUGUAAAUAUCAAGUAAGCAAACGCAAGAAAACUUUAAAAGAUAAACAUAUUUUUGUUAACCAAAGUUUAAACAUCUAAAUUUACACAGAUUGUCGAAGUACAAUUGAUAACGAUCAUCACUUUUUGUAUCCUCAAUUCGUCCAAAUUAGUGUAAAACCAAACCAAAACAUUAUCAGCAUAAAUAUUCUAAAUUGAAUUGAAUAGAUUGAUUUGUGUUUUACCUAUUGUUACUGAAAAUAAAAUUAAUACUUGUAGGUUAAAAUGACUGCAUAUGUUACAAAUCAAACAAAAGAUUGAAAAUAUCAACAUUUAAUAUUGAUUAAACCGACAUAUAAAAGAAGUCGAUAGAAAAUAAUUCUGUAUAUUUUAUACUUCUUUGAGCUAACUUACAGUUUAACUGUUUUCACCAGCAAUUUACCGUUACAGGUAAUGUCUUUUUAUAACGAAUUUACAAUGAUUUAUAUUUGCAUACUCUCAACUGCAUGAACGUGGGGAAAUAUCAUAUAUUAACCUAUCAACGAUAUAUAUAUUAAAGUACGAUUGCUAAAUUUUCUGAUAAAACAAUUUUUUAAAAUUUUUAUAUUUUUGUAAAAGGGUCAAAGUAAAUACUUUGUCAAAAUGUUAAGAAAAUUAAACGAGCCAAAUUAAUUUUAGUUUAAGUUUUAGUUACUACCUUAAAACUCACUUUCUCGUAGUUAUUACAUUGCAUGUAACAUUUACUUUUGCAAGUUAUCACUGACAAUUUAUUUUGCGAGUAACAUUGAAGUAUUUUUUUUUUUUUAGAAAAAUCCGUUUAUUUUCGGAAAAGUAUCUAAGAUUCUUGUUAAACCAUUCGGUUUGCCGUAAAUUUAAUUUUUUUUCUGUUCAUGUACUAAAAAACUUUAUGUAGAGGAAUAAGAAUAGAACUUUACGAACAUGUGUUCCAUUAAACCAUAUGUAUCAGAAUAUAUGGUUUUAAACACUCAUCAGUGGACUCCGGCUUAAAUGUAUAAAUGCAUAAACUACGAAGUUAAAUACACUGCGGACCGAAAAUGUCGAAACUUGUGUCAUAAUAUAUAAGAAUAAAUGUCUGUUACUUUCUCAUAUCUUUUAAAAAAAAUCUCAUUACAUAUUAUAAGUAAUAAACGCAAUGAAAUGUUGAUAGACAAUGACAAUUACAGUACAGUUCACAAAAGCUAUUUUGCACCUGAUCCAACAUAAGGAAAUAUGAUCCACACUUUUAUAUAAUAGUGUUCACGUGACUAUUUUGUAUAAAACAAAACGCAUCCGAUCAUAUCGCUACCUAUUCCGAAUCUUACUACGGCUUAGGCUGUUUUCAAUUUUUUGUAGAAGGUAUGUGUUAAAUGUAAAUUAUUAAAUAUUACGUGUUCGUUUACUUUUAGAAAAUGAUUAACAAAAACGUUUAAUGUUAUAUGUUUAGAAAUAUAUACUCUUAAUAGUUUUUUUCUCUCUGAUUUUAAUCUCAAAACAAAAUCGGUUAUUAAUUUUCGUUUUUUUUUUUAUUAUAUUUUCAUAUGUGAUAUUUAUAUAUUGCCUUCAUCACUCCAGGCUUCAUAAUAAUAAUACCAAUACGUUCCCAAAUAUAUAGUUGUUUCGUGUGUUUAAGCAGUCAUUUUUUUUAUAUGACAAUGUCUAUUUACAAAUCAGAUCCGUGGUCACCUCUUCCGAUUUUGUAUUCAAAAGGAAAAAAGUGGUAUUCUGAAUGUCAUCGAUUCUAUAUCAUAUUGAUAACAUUUAUAUGUGAGAUCUUUGGUAUCUUCUUCUUAACAGUACGUGUUUAGUGAAGUUAUUCUAGUAGAGUAAAAAUAUCUAAAUUUUCACCAACCGAUGUUUUGCAUAGUGUAAAAAAAACUAUUUCAUCUAAAUUAAAUUCAUUGAUUUAUUAAAGUGUUUCUAUGUACUAACAAGUAUUUUAUUAGAUUUAAUUUGAAGAAAUUUAUUUUAACAUUGGUUUACCGUCACUUUGGUUUGUACACAAUACAUACAAACUGGAUAUCAUGUCAGAGUACCGAAUCAUGUAAAAGAUUAUUAGAAGUAUAACGCUGUUCAGUAACCAAACCUCGAAAACAAAAAUCUGGGUUACAAACCAAAACCGAGAGAAACACAUCGACUUAAAGCGAAAAACAACAGAAAAAUUGAACUGCAACAAAAACAAAAGCCAACGUUCACCUUAAUGCAUUUUUAAUAACAACUGCUAUAUUCCUGUAUUGGUACGUCAAUCACAACAAUAAUGGCAAAGCGAAAAAAGAACCUCAUAAAGUCUAACGUAAACUACACUUUUUCUUACAGGAUGUUUGAUUUAUAAAAAAAGGAAGAUGAAAAUGUUCGAGGUAAGUGAUUGCGUAUUUAUCUUAAUUUUUUACUUUUUAAUAUUGUGUCGUCAUUCUCAUAUUUAAUGCAUUUCCCUCGGGUUUGGUUUGUGACCAGGACUUGUUUUUUAUGAGUUUUGAACAUCGGUAUACUACGCCUUUAUUUAGUGUAAUUGUAUCUCUUUAAAAAGACAGUGAGAUCAGGCAAUGAUGCUAUCAAUAUAUAAAUAACACAUAACUGAGAGGGUGAUAGAGCAGAUUGUUACCCGGAGAAAACAUAGUCAACUGCGCAGCCAAGGUUGACAAUGCUUUUUCGAGGGGUACCAAUCUGCUCUAUCAGCCUCUAAGCUAUGUGUUAUUUAAUUCAUUAUACUAAAUGUCCUAUCGUUAUUGUCUUUUACAGAUGCAUUUUAUUUGAAAAUAUUUUCUAUGACGUCAUGUACAUAACAACGUUAUGGGUAUUAUAAAAAUCAACAGAAGUGAAGCAAGAUGUUGUUUUUUUUUUAUUUUUUUACAUUUAAAUAAUAGAAUCUGAGCCAAAACGUAGAACUUAAGCAUUGUCUUUAAUAAUUUGAUGUAAAUUCAAUUCUCGAUUUUGUAUUGGUCUGGACGAGAGGGUGACAUUCAAAAAAAGUGUCACCCUCUCAGCCAUGUGAUAGAGUAAAUUAACGCCCUCGUAUCAGCCAAUCGAAAUAUGGAAUUUUAACGUGAAGUAUAAUAAAAUAUUUUGUCGUUGAUAUGUGCUUUUUAAGUUUUAAAUACUAGUAUACACACGUUGAUAAUUAUUUUGAGUAUUCCAUGUAUUGUAUGGAUUCGGGGAUAUGUAAAGAAAUCCGAUAUUCAAGUUGAUAAUAAUUUUAUGUUCACUAACUAAAGUACGAAUCUUUGCAAAUACAUUUCUUAUCAAAAUCGUUAUUCAUCAAACUAAUAGUGUGUUUGGCAGGUAAUAUGCACAAUGUCUUUGAUAUACAUUAUUUUUGUUCAAUAGUACCUCGAAGAAUGUGUAAUCCUCUGAUUUACCAUUUUGUGUAUUAAGUUAGAUAAUAAUUUAGUCGAAACAUCCUGUUUUAUUCCAAUAUGAACGAUAAAUUUAUUAUAUAAAACAGGAGUGAACUUUGGUAUAUGUGCAAGAUGCGAGCCUCGUCUACAAAAGACCCAUCAGUGACGCUCGAAUAAAAACAAGUUCAGUAAGCGAAAUAAAUAAAUGAAUACAUUAUAUCGACAAUGAUUUUUUUAUUUCAUUUAAAAAUAAAUAUUUUAGUUUAAUAUGGUUAUUUAAACAACCUUUUCAUAAAUCUGUUUCCCAAUUAUCUCUUUUUCUUUUUCAGAUAAUUAUAAAACAUUAUGGAUCCUGGUCCUGAUGGGGGACGUUAAAUUACAUCAAUUAACAAACAGUCGUCUGGUGGGAGAACGACGUUAUAAAUUGAUAAACUGUAGCAAAAUACUUCCACGUUUCACAAGUGUCUUUUAACAUCAUCACAGACUUGCUUGGCUUGUUUGUGUUUAAAACUUGAUAUGUUAAUAUUUUGCACCUGCAAAUAACCAGUUUUAUCAUUUUGGACUUUCGAUGACCGGGUUUAUUAUUUUGGACUUGGAAUUACUAGAUUGAUCUGUUUGGACAUGCAAUAACUUGAAUUAUCAUUUAAGAUUGAUAACCGAAUUUAUCCAUUUGGACUAGCAUGCAUCAGAUUUAUCAUUUUGCACAUAUCUGGACUCUUCUUUAAAUAAUUGAAAACGAUAAAGAUUUAAAAGAUAAAAUGAUAUAUACAUAAAAAAAAAA